Molecule: ribosomal RNA, 253 nt
Filed under: uncultured bacterium
Lineage: Bacteria
Description: partial 16S ribosomal RNA
Rfam family: Bacterial small subunit ribosomal RNA
Source: RNAcentral
UACGAAGGGGGCUAGCGUUGUUCGGAAUCACUGGGCGUAAAGGGCGCGUAGGCGGCCGAUCAAGUCGGGGGUGAAAGCCUGUGGCUUAACCACAGAAUGGCCUUCGAUACUGUUUGGCUUGAGACCGGAAGAGGUUAGUGGAACUGCGAGUGUAGAGGUGAAAUUCGUAGAUAUUCGCAAGAACACCAGUGGCGAAGGCGGCUCACUGGACUGGUAUUGACGCUGAGGUGCGAAAGCGUGGGGAGCAAACAGG